UAAAGGGAAUAGACAACAUUGAAGGCGUCUA
Molecule: non-coding RNA, 31 nt
Filed under: Mus musculus (house mouse)
Lineage: Eukaryota; Metazoa; Chordata; Mammalia; Rodentia; Muridae
Source: RNAcentral